GCACAGCUGAAGAGUCCCAUACUAGGACGAAACGGCCGUCCAGUGC
This 46-nucleotide non-coding RNA is filed under the name Schistosoma margrebowiei. The record is from RNAcentral. Lineage: Eukaryota; Metazoa; Platyhelminthes; Trematoda; Strigeidida; Schistosomatidae.